This 70-nucleotide transfer RNA is filed under the name Actinopyga echinites. Its description in RNAcentral is "tRNA-Gln". It matches the Rfam family "tRNA". Rfam says of the family: Transfer RNA (tRNA) molecules are approximately 80 nucleotides in length. Their secondary structure includes four short double-helical elements and three loops (D, anti-codon, and T loops). Further hydrogen bonds mediate the characteristic L-shaped molecular structure. tRNAs have two regions of fundamental functional importance: the anti-codon, which is responsible for specific mRNA codon recognition, and the 3' end, to which the tRNAs corresponding amino acid is attached (by aminoacyl-tRNA synthetases). tRNAs cope with the degeneracy of the genetic code in two manners: having more than one tRNA (with a specific anti-codon) for a particular amino acid; and 'wobble' base-pairing, i.e. permitting non-standard base-pairing at the 3rd anti-codon position. Lineage: Eukaryota; Metazoa; Echinodermata; Holothuroidea; Aspidochirotida; Holothuriidae. The record is from RNAcentral.
UGAAGUAUAGUUUAACGAAAAAUAAGGGGUUUUGAUUCCCUAGAUGGAAGGUCAUGUCUUUCUACUUCAA